This 98-nucleotide transfer RNA is filed under the name Candidatus Odinarchaeum yellowstonii. RNAcentral's name for it is "tRNA-Glu". It matches the Rfam family "tRNA". From Rfam's summary of the family: Transfer RNA (tRNA) molecules are approximately 80 nucleotides in length. Their secondary structure includes four short double-helical elements and three loops (D, anti-codon, and T loops). Lineage: Archaea; Promethearchaeati; Candidatus Odinarchaeota; Candidatus Odinarchaeia; Candidatus Odinarchaeales; Candidatus Odinarchaeaceae. The record is from RNAcentral.
GCCGCGAUGGUGUAGCUCGGCCAAGCAUCUGGGGCUUUCGCCCCCAAGAAGAGUAGAAAUCUUGGGAUACUCGGGUUCAAAUCCCGAUCGCGGCACCA